This 93-nucleotide microRNA precursor is filed under the name Marmota monax (woodchuck). The record is from RNAcentral. Lineage: Eukaryota; Metazoa; Chordata; Mammalia; Rodentia; Sciuridae.
AUGAUCAUCUGAGGUUCUUAUUAAAUGCAGGUUCUGAUUCAGGCGUGGAGCUAUAGAUUCUGCAUUUCUGGUAAGCCCUCAAGCAGUGCUAAU